AUUGAACGCUGGCGGCAGGCCUAACACAUGCAAGUCGAGCGGAUCAAGGGAGCUUGCUCCUGGAUUCAGCGGCGGACGGGUGAGUAAUGCCUAGGAAUCUGCCUGGUAGUGGGGGAUAACGUCCGGAAACGGGCGCUAAUACCGCAUACGUCCUGAGGGAGAAAGUGGGGGAUCUUCGGAAAUCACGCUAUCAGAUGAGCCUAGGUCGGAUUAGCUAGUUGGUGGGGUAAAGGCCUACCAAGGCGACGAUCCGUAACUGGUCUGAGAGGAUGACCAGUCACACUGGAACUGAGACACGGUCCAGACUCCUACGGGAGGCAGCAGUGGGGAAUAUUGGACAAUGGGCGAAAGCCUGAUCCAGCCAUGCCGCGUGUGUGAAGAAGGUCUUCGGAUUGUAAAGCACUUUAAGUUGGGAGGAAGGGCAGUAAGUUAAUACCUUGCUGUUUUGACGUUACCAACAGAAUAAGCACCGGCUAACUUCGUG
RNAcentral lists this ribosomal RNA (484 nucleotides) under uncultured bacterium. RNAcentral's name for it is "partial 16S ribosomal RNA". It matches the Rfam family "Bacterial small subunit ribosomal RNA", at positions 30 to 507 of the family's 1533-position model. The record is from RNAcentral.